UACGAAGGGGGCUAGCGUUGUUCGGAAUUACUGGGCGUAAAGCGCGCGCAGGCGGUCUUCCAAGUCAGUGGUGAAAGCCCGGAGCUCAACUCCGGAACUGCCAUUGAAACUGUAAGACUUGAGGAUGAGAGAGGUGAGUGGAAUUCCCAGUGUAGAGGUGAAAUUCGUAGAUAUUGGGAAGAACACCGGUGGCGAAGGCGGCUCACUGGCUCAUUACUGACGCUCAGGCGCGAUAGCGUGGGGAUCAAACAGG
This 253-nucleotide ribosomal RNA is filed under the name uncultured bacterium. RNAcentral describes it as "partial 16S ribosomal RNA". It matches the Rfam family "Bacterial small subunit ribosomal RNA", at positions 524 to 776 of the family's 1533-position model. The record is from RNAcentral.